RNAcentral lists this ribosomal RNA (265 nucleotides) under uncultured archaeon. Its description in RNAcentral is "partial 16S ribosomal RNA". It matches the Rfam family "Archaeal small subunit ribosomal RNA", at positions 717 to 982 of the family's 1478-position model. The record is from RNAcentral.
ACACGACUACAUUAGAUACCCCGGUAGUCCCAGCCGUAAACUAUGCUCGCUAGGUGUCAGGGACGGUGCGACCGUUUCUGGUGCCGCAGGGAAGCCGUGAAACGUGCCGCCUGGGAAGUACGGUCGCAAGGCUGAAACUUAAAGGAAUUGGCGGGGGAGCACAACAACGGGUGGAGCCUGCGGUUUAAUUGGACUCAACGCCGGACAACUCACCGGGGACGACAGCAAUAUGUAGGCCAGGCUGAAGACCUUGCCUGAAUCGCUG